AUUGAACGCUGGCGGCAUGCUUUACACAUGCAAGUCGAACGGCAGCGCGGGCUUCGGCCUGGCGGCGAGUGGCGAACGGGUGAGUAAUACAUCGGAACGUGCCCAGUAGUGGGGGAUAGCUCGGCGAAAGCCGGAUUAAUACCGCAUACGACCUGAGGGUGAAAGCGGGGGAUCUUCGGACCUCGCGCUAUUGGAGCGGCCGAUGGCAGAUUAGCUAGUUGGUGGGGUAAAGGCCUACCAAGGCGACGAUCUGUAGCUGGUCUGAGAGGACGACCAGCCACACUGGGACUGAGACACGGCCCAGACUCCUACGGGAGGCAGCAGUGGGGAAUUUUGGACAAUGGGCGAAAGCCUGAUCCAGCAAUGCCGCGUGUGUGAUGAAGGCCUUCGGGCUGUAAAGCACUUUUGGCGGGAACGAAAAGGACUGUGCCAAUACCACGGUUCGAUGACGGUACCCGCAGAAUAAGCACCGGCUAACCACGUG
RNAcentral lists this ribosomal RNA (484 nucleotides) under uncultured bacterium. RNAcentral's name for it is "partial 16S ribosomal RNA". It matches the Rfam family "Bacterial small subunit ribosomal RNA", at positions 29 to 507 of the family's 1533-position model. The record is from RNAcentral.